Sorex fumeus (smoky shrew) is the source of this 162-nucleotide small nuclear RNA. RefSeq annotates it as U1 spliceosomal RNA. The record is from RefSeq and is a predicted model, not a curated record. The transcript has a single exon. Lineage: Eukaryota; Metazoa; Chordata; Mammalia; Eulipotyphla; Soricidae.
AACAUUACCUGGCAGGGGAGAUACCAUGAUCAUGAAGUUGGUUUUCUCAGGGACAGGCUUAUCAAUUAAACUCCAGAUGCACUGAUCCCGGCAAUUUGCCCAAGUGUUGGAAACUUCACUGCAUAAUUUGUGAUAAUAGGAUACUGGGUUCACACUCUCCUC